AGCGAACGCUGGCGGCAUGCCUAACACAUGCGAGUCGCACGGGGGGGCUUCGGCCUCCCAGUGGCGGACGGGUGAGGAACGCGUAGGGACCUGUCGAGGGGUGGGGGAUAACCGCGGGAAACUGCGGCUAAUACCGCAUGACGCCGCGGCUUGACAGCCGCGGCCAAAGGCGAAAGCCGCCCGCCGAGGGGCCUGCGUCCGAUUCGCUGGUUGGCGGGGUUGCGGCCCACCAAGGCGUCGAACGGUAGCUGGGCUGGGAUGGUGAGCAGCCACACCGGGAAGGAGAGACGGCCCGGACUCCGAGGGGAGGCAGCGGUGAGGAAUAUAGGACGGUGGGCGCAAGCCUGAUCCAGCAAUGCCGCGUGGGUGAAGAAGGUCGGCGGAUUGUAAAGCCCUUUCGGCGGGGACGAUGGUGACGGUACCCGCAGAAGAAGCGCCGGCUAACUUCGUG
Molecule: ribosomal RNA, 451 nt
Filed under: uncultured bacterium
Lineage: Bacteria
Description: partial 16S ribosomal RNA
Rfam family: Bacterial small subunit ribosomal RNA
Source: RNAcentral